GGGCCCGCACAAGCGGUGGAGCAUGUGGUUUAAUUCGACGCAACGCGCAGAACCUUACCAGCCCUUGACAUGUCCGGGACCGGUCGCAGAGACGUGACCUUCUCUUCGGAGCCCGGAACACAGGUGCUGCAUGGCUGUCGUCAGCUCGUGUCGUGAGAUGUUGGGUUAAGUCCCGCAACGAGCGCAACCCCCGUCCUUAGUUGCUACCAUUUAGUUGAGCACUCUAAGGAGACUGCCGGUGAUAAGCCGCGAGGAAGGUGGGGAUGACGUCAAGUCCUCAUGGCCCUUACGGGCUGGGCUACACACGUGCUACAAUGGCGGUGACAAUGGGAUGCAAAGGCGCAAGCCCCAGCAAAUCUCAAAAAGCCGUCUCAGUUCGGAUUGGGCUCUGCAACUCGAGCCCAUGAAGUUGGAAUCGCUAGUAAUCGUGGAUCAGCACGCCACGGUGAAUACGUUCCCGGGCCUU
Molecule: ribosomal RNA, 466 nt
Filed under: uncultured bacterium
Lineage: Bacteria
Description: bacterial SSU rRNA
Rfam family: Bacterial small subunit ribosomal RNA
Source: RNAcentral